This 484-nucleotide ribosomal RNA is filed under the name Aerotegmina vociferator. RNAcentral describes it as "partial large subunit ribosomal RNA". The record is from RNAcentral. Lineage: Eukaryota; Metazoa; Arthropoda; Insecta; Orthoptera; Tettigoniidae.
UUGAGUAAAAAUUUAAAGUCGAACCUGCCCCCUGAAAAAUUGAAGGGCCGCGGUAUUUUGACCGUGCAAAGGUAGAAUAAUCAUUAGUCUUUUAAUUGAAGGUUUGUAUGAAUGGUUUGCCGAGAUAUUAGCUGUCUCUUUAUAAUUUUAUGGAAUUUACUUUUGGAGGGAAAAGGCUUAAAUGUAGAGGGGGGGCGAGAAGCCCCAAAAAACUUUAAAAAUUUUUAUAAUUAUCUGUAUUUGGUAGUAUUUGAGAUAGUUUUGUAAUUUAUUAUGUUGGGGUGACAUAAAGAAAAAUUUAACUCUUUAUUAAAAGAUACAUUAAUUUAUGGUAGUUGUGAUCCCUUAAUAUUGAUUAUAAGAUUAAGUUUCCUUAGGGAUAACAGCGUAAUUUUUUUUGAGAGUUCUUAUCAAUAAAAAAGAUUGCGCCCCCGAUGCCGGAUUAAGGGAAAUUAUUAGAUGCAGUAGUUCAAACCGAGUGCGU